This 253-nucleotide ribosomal RNA is filed under the name uncultured bacterium. RNAcentral's name for it is "partial 16S ribosomal RNA". It matches the Rfam family "Bacterial small subunit ribosomal RNA", at positions 524 to 776 of the family's 1533-position model. The record is from RNAcentral.
UACGUAGGGGGCAAGCGUUGUCCGGAAUCAUCGGGCGUAAAGCGCGUGUAGGCGGCUCGGUAAGUCCGCUCUGAAAGUCCAGGGCUCAACCCUGGGAUGCGGGUGGAUACUGCCGGGCUCGAGUCCGGAAGAGGCGAGUGGAAUUCCCGGUGUAGCGGUGAAAUGCGCAGAUAUCGGGAGGAACACCAAUGGCGAAGGCAGCUCGCUGGGACGUGACUGACGCUGAGACGCGAAAGCGUGGGGAGCGAACAGG